Girardinichthys multiradiatus is the source of this 326-nucleotide long non-coding RNA. RefSeq lists it as uncharacterized. The record is from RefSeq and is a predicted model, not a curated record. The transcript is spliced from 3 exons. Lineage: Eukaryota; Metazoa; Chordata; Actinopteri; Cyprinodontiformes; Goodeidae.
GUCUCCGUUUGUUACUCUGUGUCCUGGCCUGGUUCUAGUCAUAUAUGCUCCAUGUUUCCUGUCAUCCGUGUAUCAUGUCAAGGCUGCCUGAUCUGUCAGAUAGAGUGCUUCAUUCAGAGACGGUGCAUUCAUCUAAAUUACAGCCACAUUAAGCCUCUGACUUCUGGGACUGUGCCGAGGCCCAGAUGUAUUCCCGCAGGGCAGAGUGGAACAGAUGUAUCUGGCGUGAAGAGGAAGAGGCUGAGAUGAGCAGCUUAACUCGGGAUGCCUUCUGCAAAUCCAAUUCUCAAAUUAGCCAAAAAGUAAUGCUCAUUGUUUACAUUAUG